RNAcentral lists this long non-coding RNA (202 nucleotides) under Lathyrus oleraceus (garden pea). Its description in RNAcentral is "Pisum sativum (pea) long non-coding RNA (PSAT_LNC032204)". Lineage: Eukaryota; Viridiplantae; Streptophyta; Magnoliopsida; Fabales; Fabaceae. The record is from RNAcentral.
UUUCCAUCUCGGCUUCUUCACUACCUCCCUUAUUACCUCAUCAUUUUUAUUCUCCUCAAUCUCCACAUUUUUUUAUUUUCAACUUCACCAUUUAUUUUUAUUUUUUCAACCACUUCCUCAUCACUCCACACUCCUACUUCACCAUCGACAUUUUCUUCCACUAUCUCCUCCUCAAUCUCCUUCUCUUUCUCUCUUUUUUCAC